This 462-nucleotide small RNA is filed under the name Arabidopsis thaliana (thale cress). RNAcentral's name for it is "ATSL099740". The record is from RNAcentral. Lineage: Eukaryota; Viridiplantae; Streptophyta; Magnoliopsida; Brassicales; Brassicaceae.
AGUUUUUUUUCUCUCCGGCUAAAGGAAGAAGAGAAGGUACCACAAUGCCUCCUCGCACGGGAAAGGAUAAACAAAACCCCAGGCUCCCACCGGAGGUGACUCGCCUACUCUACAUUUGUAACCUUCCCUUUAGCAUAACAAGCGAAGAUACGUACGAUCUUUUCGGAAGGUACAGUACGAUUCGUCAGGUUCGAAUCGGUUGUGAAAAGGGCACAAAAGGUACGGCUUUCGUCGUAUACGAGGAUAUCUACGAUGCUAAGAAAGCUGUCGACCAUCUCUGGCUUCAACAUAGCGAACCGGUACCUUAUCGUGCACUAUUACCAACAUGCGAAGAUGAGCAAGAAGUUUGACUUGAAACAUCUGUUAGUCAACGCUAACUACUGAUGACUCAGCUGACCCGUGAGUAUCAACGAGGCAUAUUCUUCAACUAAAACGACCUUGUUUUGCUAUUUUGAAUUUAUU